This 1047-nucleotide ribosomal RNA is filed under the name uncultured archaeon. RNAcentral describes it as "bacterial SSU rRNA". It matches the Rfam family "Archaeal small subunit ribosomal RNA", at positions 1 to 1054 of the family's 1478-position model. The record is from RNAcentral.
UCCGGUUGAUCCUGGCGGAGGCUACUGCUAUCGGGGUCCGACUAAGCCAUGCGAGUUGAGAGGGGUAAGCCCUCGACGAAUUGCUCAGUAACACGCGGACAACCUGCCCUUGGGUCCGGGAUAACCCCGGGAAACUGGGACUAAUACCGGAUAGAUCAAGGAUACUGGAAUGUUCCCUGGUCUAAAACUCCGGUGCCCAAGGAUGGGUCUGCGGCCUAUCAGGUAGUAGUGGGUGUAACGUACCUACUAGCCUACGACGGGUAAGGGUUGUGAGAGCAAGAGCCCUGAGAUGGAUUCUGAGACAUGAAUCCAGGCCCUACGGGGUGCAGCAGGCGCGAAAACUUUACAAUGCGGGAAACCGCGAUAAGGGGACCCCGAGUGCCAGCACCUAGUGCUGGCUGUCCCGCUGUCUAAAUAACAGUGGUUAGCAAGGGCCGGGCAAGACCGGUGCCAGCCGCCGCGGUAACACCGGCGGCCCAAGUGGUAGCCGUUAUUAUUGGGUUUAAAGGGUCCGUAGCCGGCCUAUUAAGUCUCUUGGGAAAUCUGGCGACUCAAUCGUCAGGCGUCCAAGAGAUACUGGUAGGCUUGGGACCGGGAGAGGUGGGAGGUACUCCAGGGGUAGGGGUGAAAUCUCGUAAUCCUUGGGGGACCACCGAUGGCGAAGGCAUCCCACCAGAACGGGUCCGACGGUGAGGGACGAAAGCUGGGGGCACGAACCGGAUUAGAUACCCGGGUAGUCCCAGCUGUAAACGAUGCUCGCUAGGUGUCAGGUGCGGUGCGACCGCAUCUGGUGCCGUAGUGAAAACUUGAAGCGAGUCACCUGGGAAGUACGGUCGCAAGGCUGAAACUUAAAGGAAUUGGCGGGGGAGCACUACAACGGGUGGAGCCUGCGGUUCAAUUGGAUUCAACGCCGGAAAGCUUACCGGGUCAGACAGCAAUAUGAAGGUCAGGCUAAAGACCUUACCGAAUUCGCUGAGAGGAGGUGCAUGGCCGUCGUCAGUUCGUAUCGUGAGACAUCCUGUUAAGUCAGGCAACGAGCGAGACCCA